AUUGAACGCUGGCGGCAUGCCUUACACAUGCAAGUCGAACGGCAGCACGGGUGCUUGCACCUGGUGGCGAGUGGCGAACGGGUGAGUAAUAUAUCGGAACGUACCUUAUUGUGGGGGAUAACGCAGCGAAAGCUGUGCUAAUACCGCAUAACCCCUAAGGGGGAAAGCGGGGGACCGUAAGGCCUCGCGCAAUUAGAGCGGCCGAUACCUGAUUAGCUAGUUGGUGAGGUAAAGGCUCACCAAGGCAACGAUCAGUAGCUGGUCUGAGAGGACGAUCAGCCAAACUGGGACUGAGACACGGCCCAGACUCCUACGGGAGGCAGCAGUGGGGAAUUUUGGACAAUGGGGGCAACCCUGAUCCAGCAAUGCCGCGUGAGUGAAGAAGGCCUUCGGGUUGUAAAGCUCUUUUGUCAGGGAAGAAACAGCAGCUCUAACACAGUUUGCGAAUGACGGUACCUGAAGAAUAAGCACCGGCUAACUACGUGCCAGCCGCCGCAGUAA
This 501-nucleotide ribosomal RNA is filed under the name uncultured bacterium. RNAcentral's name for it is "partial 16S ribosomal RNA". It matches the Rfam family "Bacterial small subunit ribosomal RNA", at positions 30 to 523 of the family's 1533-position model. The record is from RNAcentral.